CACGCCACGGUGAAUACGUUCCCGGGCCUUGUACACACCGCCCGUCAAGCCAUGGAAGUUGGGGGUACCCGAAGUCGCCCUUAAAAAGCGCCGAAGGUAAAAACCAGUGACUGGGGCU
This 118-nucleotide ribosomal RNA is filed under the name uncultured bacterium. RNAcentral describes it as "partial 16S ribosomal RNA". It matches the Rfam family "Bacterial small subunit ribosomal RNA", at positions 1353 to 1482 of the family's 1533-position model. The record is from RNAcentral.